GAGCUCCUGGAUAACCCUGGUCGGAGCUCUGUGUGCAGCUGCUGUACCUCCAACUGCAAUCUGAGGAAGAGGAGGGACACGGCUGAAGAGGGACUGAGACACACUGCAGUGCUGGGACCCCUGAGGAUCCUUCCUGAAGAGCUGUCUGCUGGAAGCCAGGAAUUCUACCAGAGGAGCCCUGCUCUGUCACUGGAGGAGCCCAGCAGGCUCUGGCCUGGCAGCCUGUCCUGGCUGCUCCCCUGCUCCUAAUGGCUGUCCUGGGAGCCCUGUCUCUGGGCUACUACAUGUGCAUGUGGCAUCAUCCCAGACUCUUCUCCAAGUCCAGCAGGGAGCUCCUCGUUCCUGUCCCCGUUGAUGAAAUGCACACAGCAGUUGCCACGGUUUCCAGCAGCUCGCCAGCAAGGCAUUUCUGAUUUCUUGUAUGUUGCGAAAUAAAAUGGAUACAUAAAGAC
Long non-coding RNA from Acipenser ruthenus (sterlet), 452 nucleotides. RefSeq lists it as uncharacterized. NCBI's taxonomy places the organism in Eukaryota, Metazoa, Chordata, Actinopteri, Acipenseriformes, Acipenseridae. The transcript is spliced from 3 exons. The record is from RefSeq and is a predicted model, not a curated record.